AGACNCGAUNCUGGGUCCGGNGUCUCGAAAUCACUAGUAACGGCCGCCAGUUGUGCUGGAAUUCGCCCUUGNAGUUUGAUCCUGGCUCAGAUUGAACGCUGGCGGCAUGCUUUACACAUGCAAGUCGAACGGCAACGAGAGAAGCUUGCUUCUUGGCGUCGAGUGGCGAACGGGUGAGUAAUACAUCAAUGCGUACCUUUUANUGGGGAAUAACGGCCUGAAAGGGUUGCUAAUACCGCAUAAUCCUUGGCGGGGAAAGCAGGGGACCGCAAGGCCUUGUGCUGAAANAGCGCGUGAUGCCUGAUUAGCUUGUUGGUAAGGUAAUGGCUUACCAAGGCUCCGAUCAGUAGCCGGUAUGAGAGUAUGGCCAGCCACACUGGGACUGAGACACGGCCCAGACUCCUACGGGAGGCAGCAGUGGGGAAUUUUGGACAAUGGGGGCAACCCUGAUCCAGCAAUGCCGCGUGUGUGAUGAAGGCCUUCGGGUUGUAAAGCACUUUUGUUGGGGAAGAAAAGUUGCAUGCUAAUAUCGUGCAAUAAUGACGGUACCUAAAGAAUAAGCACCGGCUAACUACGUGCCAGCAGCCGCGGUAAUACGUAGGGUGCGAGCGUUAAUCGGAAUUACUGGGCGUAAAGAGCGCGUAGGCGGUANCGUAAGACGGAUGUGAAAUACCAGGGCUUAACCUUGGUGCUGCGUUCGUAACUGCGCUUCUUGAGUGUCCUA
RNAcentral lists this ribosomal RNA (724 nucleotides) under uncultured beta proteobacterium. Its description in RNAcentral is "partial 16S ribosomal RNA". It matches the Rfam family "Bacterial small subunit ribosomal RNA", at positions 1 to 653 of the family's 1533-position model. The record is from RNAcentral. Lineage: Bacteria; Pseudomonadati; Pseudomonadota; Betaproteobacteria.